CUGUGAGCGCAAUCAGCG
Molecule: unclassified non-coding RNA, 18 nt
Filed under: Chlamydomonas reinhardtii
Lineage: Eukaryota; Viridiplantae; Chlorophyta; Chlorophyceae; Chlamydomonadales; Chlamydomonadaceae
Description: small RNA Cre_1515
Source: RNAcentral